AUUUGCUUAGGCAAGAAGACCGAAGGCAGUGGGAAACCUGCUUUAAAACCCUGACUCGGCCAUUCUUCCAGGCCUUGGAGCAGAGUCUUACUUCUGUCAAGCAGCAGAGGAUGAGAGAUUCUCAGGGCUCCAACCUGCUCCUACAAAUAGCUUAUGGCCAGAUGACUCCUUUUAAAGACCAGCCAAACCUUGGAUUGAUUGGCCUGUCCAACAUGUGGAAAUUUGAACAGAAGAUGUCCAUCCAGACCCUGAUGCAUCUCCUUCAGCAAGAACACAGAGAAGGCGAAGGAAACCGCUACCCUGUUCUUCUGGAGCUCGCAUCUAAGGUGCAAAACAUCCAGCAUGUCCAACAUCUGCCUGACAUUUUCAGUCUGCAGAAAGCUCUGAUCCACUUCUUUGAGAACAGCCAUAAUGGGAAAAGAUACUCAGUACAACAAUUUCUAGACCAACUUGAACCUUCAGAGGACCAGCGCUCAGCUUUCGGCCGAGCUAUAGGGACCAUUCAGAAAGUCUGGAGCAAUAUCAGAAUGAAACCACUGUGCUCAGGUAUUUUGACUUCCCAGGUAUUGUUACUUCCCUUUCCUAAGCCAUUGAUGAAGGCAGGAACCCAUGCUAGCUGCUGA
This 623-nucleotide long non-coding RNA is filed under the name Athene cunicularia (burrowing owl). RNAcentral describes it as "lncRNA (ENSACUG00000001923.1)". Lineage: Eukaryota; Metazoa; Chordata; Aves; Strigiformes; Strigidae. The record is from RNAcentral.